Molecule: ribosomal RNA, 396 nt
Filed under: uncultured bacterium
Lineage: Bacteria
Description: bacterial SSU rRNA
Rfam family: Bacterial small subunit ribosomal RNA
Source: RNAcentral
AACCUGCCUUUGAGAAGGGGAUAACUGUCCGAAAGGAUAGCUAAUACCCUAUAUUGCCUUUUGUCACUAAGGCAAAAGGUGAAAGCGAGGCUGUCAAAGGCUUCGGCUCAAAGAGGGGUUCGCGUCCUAUCAGGUAGUUGGUGGGGUAAUGGCCUACCAAGCCAAUGACGGGUAGCUGGUCUUAGAGGAUGAUCAGCCACAGUGGGACUGAGACACGGCCCGCACCCCUACGGGGGGCAGCAGUGGGGAAUCGUGGGCAAUGGGCGCAAGCCUGACCCCGCAAUGCCGCGUGAGGGAAGAAGCCCUUCGGGGUGUAAACCUCUGUCAGAUGGGAAGAUGGGACUAGGGGCUAAUACCUCCUGGUCUUGACGGUACCAUCAGAGGAAGGGACGGCUA